This 369-nucleotide ribosomal RNA is filed under the name uncultured Streptococcus sp. Its description in RNAcentral is "bacterial SSU rRNA". It matches the Rfam family "Bacterial small subunit ribosomal RNA", at positions 1 to 354 of the family's 1533-position model. Lineage: Bacteria; Bacillati; Bacillota; Bacilli; Lactobacillales; Streptococcaceae. The record is from RNAcentral.
CGAAUUCGCCCUUAGAGUUUGAUCCUGGCUCAGGACGAACGCUGGCGGCGUGCCUAAUACAUGCAAGUAGAACGCUGAAGAGAGGAGCUUGCUCUUCUUGGAUGAGUUGCGAACGGGUGAGUAACGCGUAGGUAACCUGCCUUGUAGCGGGGGAUAACUAUUGGAAACGAUAGCUAAUACCGCAUAACAAUGGAUGACACAUGUCAUUUAUUUGAAAGGGGCAAUUGCUCCACUACAAGAUGGACCUGCGUUGUAUUAGCUAGUAGGUGAGGUAACGGCUCACCUAGGCGACGAUACAUAGCCGACCUGAGAGGGUGAUCGGCCACACUGGGACUGAGACACGGCCCAGACUCCUACGGGAGGCAGCAG